Molecule: ribosomal RNA, 383 nt
Filed under: uncultured eukaryote
Lineage: Eukaryota
Description: SSU rRNA
Rfam family: Eukaryotic small subunit ribosomal RNA
Source: RNAcentral
AGCUCCAAUAGCGUAUAUUAAAGUUGUUGCGGUUAAAAAGCUCGUAGUUGGAUCUCGUCUAAGGGGUCUUGUCCACCGGUUGGUGGUUACAGGUACCCCCAGACUAUACUGGUGAACUCAUUUGCCCUUAACCGGGUAAUUGGGUAUUGACCAGUACGUUUACUUUGAACAAAUUAGAGUGCUCAAAGCAGGCUUUUAUAAGCCUGAAUAAUCUUGCAUGGAAUAAUGGAAUAGGAUCUCGGUUCUAUUCUUGUUGGUCUUCGGAACUUGAGAUAAUGAUUAAGAGGGACAGACGGGGGCAUUCGUACUGCGGCGCUAGAGGUGAAAUUCUUGAACCGUCGCAAGACGAACUACAGCGAAAGCAUUUGCCAAGGAUGCUUUCA